GAUGAACGCUGGCGGCGUGCCUAAUACAUGCAAGUCGAGCGAACAGACGAGGAUCUUGCUCCUCUGACGUUAGCGGCGCAUGGGUGCGUAACACGUGGAUAACCUACCUAUAAGACUGGGAUAACUUCGGGAAACCGGAGCUAAUACCGGAUAAUAUAUUGAACCGCAUGGUGCAAUAGUGAAAGACGGUUUUGCUGUCACUUCUAGAUGGAUCCGCGCCGCGUUAGCUAGUUGGUACGGUAACGGCUUACCAAGGCAACGAUGCGUAGCCGACCCGAGAGAGUGAUCGGCCACACUGGAAGUGAGACACGGUCCAGACUGCUACGGGAGGCAGCAGUAGGGAAUCUUCCGCGAUGGGCGAAAGCAUUACGGAGCAACGCGGCGUGAGUGAUGAAGGUCUUCGGAUCGUAAAACACUGUUAUUAGGGAAGAACAAAUGUGUAAGUAACUAUGCAAGUCUUGACGGUACCUAAUCAGAAAGCCACGGCUAACUACGUG
Molecule: ribosomal RNA, 497 nt
Filed under: uncultured bacterium
Lineage: Bacteria
Description: partial 16S ribosomal RNA
Rfam family: Bacterial small subunit ribosomal RNA
Source: RNAcentral